AAACCAACAGGGAUUGCCUUAGUAACGGCGAGUGAAGCGGCAAAAGCUCAAAUUUGAAAUCUAGUACCUUCGGUGCUCGAGUUGUAAUUUGAAGAUGGUAACUUUGGAGUUGGCCCUUGUCUAUGUUCCUUGGAACAGGACGUCACAGAGGGUGAGAAUCCCGUCUGGCGAGGUGAUCCAACUCUAUGUAAAGUGCUAUCGAAGAGUCGAGUUGUUUGGGAAUGCAGCUCUAAGUGGGUGGUAAAUUCCAUCUAAAGCUAAAUAUUGGCGAGAGACCGAUAGCGAACAAGUACAGUGAUGGAAAGAUGAAAAGAACUUUGAAAAGAGAGUGAAAAAGUACGUGAAAUUGUUGAAAGGGAAGGGUAUUAGAUCAGACUUGGUGUUUUAUGAUUAUCUUCUCUUCUUGAGUUGUGCACUCGUAACUCACUGGGCCAGCAUCGAUUCGGAUGGCAAGAUAAUGACAUUGGAAUGUGGCAUUUACUUCGGUGGAUGUGUUAUAGCCCUUGUUGAUGUUGCCUAUCUGGAUCGAGGACUGCGUCUUUUGACUAGGAUGUUGGCGUAAUGAUCUAAUAUCGC
This 576-nucleotide ribosomal RNA is filed under the name Taiozyma peoriensis. RNAcentral describes it as "eukaryotic LSU rRNA". It matches the Rfam family "Eukaryotic large subunit ribosomal RNA", at positions 62 to 648 of the family's 3401-position model. The record is from RNAcentral. Lineage: Eukaryota; Fungi; Ascomycota; Saccharomycetes; Phaffomycetales; Wickerhamomycetaceae.